UACGUGAAACCGUUUAGGGGUAAACCUGAGAAACCCGAAAGUUCGAAAGAGGAGAUUCAGCGUGUCUCGGUGCGCGCGAGUGCCGCUCGGUAGACGAUUGUCGUUCGCGAUGGUCGCUCCUUGCGUGCGCCGCUGCGUGUCGAACGCGUGCACUUCUCCUCCAGUAGGACGUCGCGACCCGUUGGGUGUCGGUCUGCGGCCUGCGGUGGAGCCCGUACGUCGGUUUCGGCCGUGCGUGCGGACCCGCGGUGUCCUGGCCGACUGCUCGACGGUAGAACUAAGGCGCAGAGCCGCGACUAGCUCGCGUUCGGCCCAGCGCAAGCGCAGCCGGUUAUUCGUUCGUCGGACUUGUGCCGAUCUCGAAGCCGGUUGGCUGUUGGCGUUGGUGUUCCCGGACAGACUCUGUUCACGCCUGUCAGCGGCGCUAUAGCUUUGGGUACUUUCAGGACCCGUCUUGAAACACGGACCAAGGAGUCUAGCAUGUGCGCGAGUCAUUGGGACUAUCGAAUCCUAAAGGCGCAAUGAAAGUGAAUGUGAAACCUGGUUUUACAGAGGGAAGAUGGGCAGCAUUUGUUGCCUCGCACUCCCGGGGCGUCUCGUUCUCAUUGCGAGAAGAGGCGCACCUAGAGCGUACACGCUGGGACCCGAAAGAUGGUGAACUAUGCCUGGUCAGGACGAAGUCAGGGGAAACCCUGAUGGAGGUCCGUAGCGAUUCUGACGUGCAAAUCGAUCGUCGGAACUGGGUAUAGCGGCGAAAGACUAAUCGAACCAUC
RNAcentral lists this ribosomal RNA (773 nucleotides) under Staphylinidae sp. NZAC 03010625. RNAcentral describes it as "eukaryotic LSU rRNA". It matches the Rfam family "Eukaryotic large subunit ribosomal RNA", at positions 396 to 944 of the family's 3401-position model. The record is from RNAcentral. Lineage: Eukaryota; Metazoa; Arthropoda; Insecta; Coleoptera; Staphylinidae.